GGGAUCUUAGGAUAGAGGUUGGGUCGUAGUUAAAAUGUUUUUUAAAACUAGAUUUUCUUCCUUUUAUUGUAGAAUACAUUUAAUUGAUUAUUGUAGAAACGUAGGAUAUAAGUAGUAGGAGCCUAAAUGCUGUAGAGUAUUGCAAGCUGAAUUGUAUAACGCCGUGAGCAACGCGUUCAUGCCAAGAUGGCGGAGUCAUCGCCCGGUUGACGAAAACUGCUGACAUCAAACUGCCCAAAUCGUGUAAAAUUGGAGGAGUUUUGAUUUAUUUUGCUUCAAUCAUCACCGACGCCGCCGUUGUCCCACACAAUGUUCAGCAUCACGCAGGCGUAUGAUUGCAGCUACUCUGUAGUAAUACGUAUUGGCUUAUAAUCAAGUCGAUAAUAAGGCGCGUUAAUAAUCGUCAGGACCAGGCAGCGCUAAAUCAAUUUUUUUGAAAACAAAGAUGAUCUAUUUAGGUCGAGUCGGAGCUUACCGGUCGGUUUAAUGGAAGGAGGAUUUUUAGUUAGGAGUCUGGGUAGGAAUUUUCCGUAUCCAGUAGAUUGAAGGCCGUAGAUCGUGAAUAAGUCGGCUAUCGGAACAGAGUAUUGCAGUAUGAUAGAUAAUAAAAUAUAAUAAACAAUUUGAACAAAGAAAUACACAAUUAUAAGUAUAAAUAAACAAGACACGAUAUUAGAAUAAGCUGAUUGUUCAUCUUUCCCACAAUACAUUACAAUGUAAUAGCUGUCGACCUUUGAACAAUAAAUAUAAUCCAUCAUGAGGUUAAUUUAUUUUGCCUUGUAUCCUGGUUCGGGAAAGUAAAAUGUGAGUUGAAGUCGAUAAGUUUUUCGAUUCUUUUCGAUGUCUGGUGUUAUGUACGAGGUCGAAAUUUGCGUGUACCCUGGAUUAAAUAGAUUAUUGUCAGUUUCAUUUAUGCCGAGGUAAAAUCUUGAUAUAUUUAUAAAUUGAAUACAAAUUAUUAUCAAAAAUAUUGCUUUUCUUUUUCACCCUUAUUUACCAUAGUUAAGGCGUCAAUAAGAUUCAUGUAUACACAUAUGUAUAGUAACAAGCAAAGUUUUAUAAUGUCUAUGGCCAAUCUGAUAAAGAAUAGAAAAAAAUAUAAUUAUUACCUUAUGUUUUAGAUGUUUCGUAGUUAGAAAUGACUAAUAAAAUGUAGUUGUUCAUAAAAUGUGACAAUUUCUUUUUGAUCACAGGAAUGGUGAUGUUUAUUGCAAAUGUCUGAAACUAGGACAGGUUUUAGUGAUUUUAAUACCAAGAGAUAAUUAUCAGAUACAUAACCUGCAUCACAAGAUGUAGAGAAACGUAACCUUAAAUUCUAGUAGGACUUCCACAUAAAGCAUUCAAGUUUGCUUUAAAUAAUUUAAUGUAAAUCCUAGAGGAAAGGAAAAACGUCACAUAGAUAAGAAAUCAAAGAAAAACAUAUAGAAAAAUAACAUCUUUAAUAUAAGAAAUAUAAUCACACAAAUAAUAAUAUUGCAUCCUAAGAUGGAGCAAAUUAAAAAAAAUCAAAACGAACUCAUGCUAUUAAUGAAAUGCUUCUUAAAUUUACACGAAAUGGGAAUGUUAAAUUUAUUAAGCAAGAAAUUAAAUGAAACGUCAGUUACUCAAAUGAUAUUAAGAUACUAUCAAAUGUAAAAAUGUAGAUAAAAUGCUCUUAAAUAGCGAAGACUGAAGAUUAUAUUUAUUCAUAUUUAAUAUUUAUCAUAAUCCCCUUCUACUAUAUUUUUUACAGGUUUUAUUUAAAAAUAUGUUUUAACUAAGAUUUAAAAUCGAUAAUUAACGGAAAUUAUUCGUAUAUAUAAGAAUUAUAAUAUGUUCUAAAUGUUAUAAACACUAUUAAAUUAUGGGGUGAUCAUUGCAAGCAUAUUUAAAAGCUAAUUUUUACUGAUUUACCACGGUUACGGAAACAAUUUAGAUUGGUGUCCAACAUAAUUGUUUAAAAUAAAUUGAAACGGUGUAUACAAUCACGGAAAUAAUGGAGGAUUUAUAUACAAACGUAUGUAUGCAAUAUUAAAAUUGUACAUAACAAUUCGUCACGAUAGACAGGACACAAACUGGUUUUAACACCUUUUUGGCCGUAUAUAUUAAACUCAAUAAACAAUGGGCCCAGAUUCAGAAAUAAUUUAAUCAAAUUUCUUUUUCCUUUUGAAUUAUAUACACUUAUAUUGGAUCAAAUCUGCACUUAUAACAUUUAUUAUAAUUGUUUUGUACAUAAAUGAUAGAUAAACUUUAAUUUAUAUGAUUAAUCGCUUGAGUUUAUGCUUUGUUGAAAAUUAUUUAGUCCAUACUAAGAAAUGUAAAUGAUAACGCAUUUUCAUGCUAAAAUAUCCAUGAAGAAUAGGUUUUUAAAUAGUUGCAUAGGACGUCGUUUUCUAUUUAUUUGUUGAUUUCUUUAGAUACGUCCUCGUUGUAUUAUGUUGUAAAUUAAGGUCGUAUGUUUCUUCUAUAUUAUUUUCAAGAGGAAAUAUUUGUACUUUUGUAUGUAUCGAAAUGACUCAAAUACUAAUGUACAGAUUUCAAAAAUUCUUUCACCAAUAAAUAGGUGUGUUAUCACCGAGUUACAUAGGCUUAAAUUACAAAUUUUUGUAUAUCUAUCCAUGUUAUUACAAUUAAAAACUUUUUUUUAGUUUGAAAUUCUUUCUCCUAGCAAAAUGUUAUAGCAAUCUUUCUUGUCAUCAGAAUUGCCUAAAUUCUAAAUUAUUGUGUUGAGAUAAAGUUAUUCAAAAUCGUCUACACUUAGAACUAUCAAGCUGCUUGUAUUGCUCGAUAUUUUUAUUUCUGUUUUAAUGAAGAGCGGAACGCUAAUUUUAACACGUUGCUAGAUCUUCUUUCCUAAUUUUUUUUAGUUCUGAAUAAACACUAACAAGAGUGUAUAACGUUUUCAAUAGUUUUGAUGUUGAUGUAAUCGGCAUAUUUCAUGUUGCUUUUGCAUAUGAAUCUAAAUUAUCCGUGUAUUAUUAUACUACAUACUUGUUUUUAUUUUAUAGUUUGCUUACUUAUUCCUUGAUUUUAUGUUAGUUCGUACAAUUUAAUAAAUCAAUCGAUUUCCUGAUCUACAUUAUGUUGAAUCUGUUUGUUAGUACUUAUUACAAUUUUGUAUAUCAAAAUCGUCUUGUUUCACAGUUUGUUUUCUAAUAGUUUCGUGGUUUGUGUGUUGCUAAUUGAAUCAAUACAGAAUUAAAUUUAAAACCGCUUAAUACUGCAAGUGGGUUAGGUGAAAUAUUAGCUACGUCUACAAAAGUAUCCUAUUUUUAGCUAGUCUUAAAUCGUGGUACUUAUGGGAAUAUAUUGAUGUCUCUUUCAUUUUCAUUGAAAAUUUAGAGAAAACAAUAUGUAACAGGCAAGGAUAGUGUACCGAUGUGGACUUAGCUAUUAAAAGCGUUUUAAGCACGUUUUGUAAGAUUUUAGGGUGAUGUUAUUUAGUGUGUGGUUUUAUAAAUUAUCAAUGUCCGUGCUAUUUGGGCCAUAUUCAAUUCGCAUUUGUAUGUAUUGGUGAUGGUUCCCAUAGUACUAUAAUUGUUUAUAACAUUGCUAAUUGUAUAUUAGCAAAGUUUCUAUAACCAAUUUUGUUGUAUUUACGUU
Molecule: long non-coding RNA, 3582 nt
Organism: Papilio polytes (common Mormon)
Lineage: Eukaryota; Metazoa; Arthropoda; Insecta; Lepidoptera; Papilionidae
Exons: 4
Source: RefSeq, a predicted model, not a curated record